This 346-nucleotide ribosomal RNA is filed under the name uncultured bacterium. RNAcentral's name for it is "bacterial SSU rRNA". It matches the Rfam family "Bacterial small subunit ribosomal RNA", at positions 28 to 359 of the family's 1533-position model. The record is from RNAcentral.
GAUGAACGCUGGCGGCGUGCUUAACACAUGCAAGUCGAACGAAGCACUGUUGAUAGAUUCUUCGGAUGAUAGAUACAGUGACUGAGUGGCGGACGGGUGAGUAACGCGUGGGUAACCUGCCUCAUACAGGGGGAUAACAGUUAGAAAUGACUGCUAAUACCGCAUAAGCGCACAGUACUGCAUGGUACAGUGUGAAAAACUCCGGUGGUAUGAGAUGGACCCGCGUCUGAUUAGCUAGUUGGUGGGGUAACGGCCCACCAAGGCGACGAUCAGUAGCCGACCUGAGAGGGUNACCGGCACAUUGGGACUGAGACACGGCCCAAAAUCCUAGGGAGCAGCAGUGGAG